CUCCUCUCUGUGGGUUUAUUGUUCGCAGCGCCAUGCAGCAGUUAACAAAUGCCAGUGGUACACAGCAUUCCCAAGAGCUGACCGCACCGUGACUCACUCACUACACAUACGCAUCCCAAUGACAGCAUUCCUGACCUACUUUGGGAAUUAAGAAAGCAUUUCAGACAUAUUUCCCCCCCUUUCCAAAAGGGAGUGUCCUACAGCUAUUCCAGAGCUGUUGGCUGGGAUCCAGUGAUCACAUGUGGGUGAUGCAAAACAGAUCUAUUCAAAGUUUAAAGGAAGAAAAAUCACAAGGAAUUCCAUGUUUUGCUCUGUUCCCAUCCUAGCAAAAAGCCAGCUUCAAAUCCACAGGACCAGUACUCCAUCCCCACUGCCUGAGCUUAUCUUUAGGAAUUCUUACCAUCUAGUGCUGCUUUCGUGGCAGGGGGGUUGCAACCGGAUGAUCUCGAUGUCCUUUCCAACCCUAACUAUUGCAUAAUUGUAUCAUUUUGGAACUCUGAUACACAUACUCAUAGAUCAGACUCUCGCCUGCUUCCAUUCAGAGAGGACUCACAAGAUCACAUUCCCGGAACACACCAAAAUCCCUGUAAAACCUCACCCUUUUGAUAGAUGCUUCAGUUGCCUUAUUAUGGAGAAAGAAUAAACCAAACUUCCACUAACUUGCCCCAAGCAGGAGGUAACACCCCACUGCCCAGCCUCCCCCAGCGCUGAGGUUACCUUGGUCAGACAACUGCCAGAGAAGAGGUUAGAAAAGGGCUUUAGGGAGAUUUGUCUCUGUGGCCUUUACACAGUCCUCGUGUAUAUCAAGCCGUGAUCCACCACCAGAAGUGUGGGGGGUAACCAAGGCGAUGCCUUCUUAAAGCAGGAGAUGCUUUUGCCACACAUUCACUACACAAAUUCCCUACAGCUUCCACUUACGGCUGCUUUCAGCACCAGUUAUUGCACUCCCCACAGGAAACUUCAUCUAAACCAGAUUGCCAUCUACAACAUGGGUUUUGAACUUUGCCUGCACCACUCCCAUGGGAACAACCCAAAUCCAUUAUAAACUCAAAGACUGGGGAUUUAAUUCCCUGCCAAAUGCACGUAGCCUGAAUACAGUGAUUUAAAGACAUGAGGAAGGAGCAGGGGUUUUAGUGUUAUGAUAGUUCCAAAGCUGGUCUAGAAGCUCCUACUUGUUCUCUUCUGAGGGAUAUUAUUGAAGAGGAGUUUUGCCUCUGAGUCAUUCUCAGAGGAAUUUAUCUAUCUAAAGUAUUUGACAUAGAUUAAGAAAAAAAAAACCAAAAACCAAAAAACAACCUCAUAACUCCCCUGAGCACCACAGAAGGCAACACAAGGUGGAAAAUAACCUGUAGGUGCAAAAAGCAGAGAGUUUGUGGUGGGUACAGGGCCAUGCUCCUUCCCAUCUCCAACUAUUCCCAUUUCCUUCAAGGGGCAGCGGACACUUUCCUUCCCCAGCCAUCACCUCCCCCACUAAAGCUCCUUAAGUAAAUUAUUCCAGAUUUUCCUUAGGCCUGGAUCUCUGGUGCUCAAAAACUGCCCGAGCUCGGAUGAGAAAUGAGAAACACAUCCAGGAACAGAGAGGAUGCAGAACAAAACCCACUCUUAUUCUCACAGCUACCCAAGAUUAGAUGAAGACAACACACGCUGUUAUCUGCACGCUCAAGAGUCAGAACAUGACGGUCCCACUGAAGCACGCUCAGCAGUGUGUCAAUAACACAUAAAUAAGAGCAUCAGAAGAAAGGUGGCUGCAAAAUACCCUGACAAAGUGACCCGUUACCGCCCAGCGGGGCAGCGAGGGCAGCAGCACCCAGCCCCUGCGGCUUUGGGCGCUUUUGGAGGCACAGAACACUCAUAUCCCGGGGUGCCAGCACAGGCACACCCCAACCCCACCACCGGGCACGGCUUUAGUAACGAACAGCUUCAACCAUGGCCACCUCACCCCACUGCACUCCCACUGAAACCAGUGUCCUGACUUCAGCGGCUGCCAGCGAGGCUAAAGGCCACCCCAGCACACGCGGGGUAACCUGGACGCCUCACGCAGCCGGUGCCCAGCGCGCUGCCUGCCGGCUGGCGGAAACAAAAGCAGGGAAAAUCUACUACCACACCCCCCCCCCGGCUUCCCGACACUGCAGCGCGCCUCACGGGCGCCGCUGGCCGCCGAGGGCCCCGCCGGUGCGGCCUGGAG
This 2185-nucleotide long non-coding RNA is filed under the name Strigops habroptila (Kakapo). RNAcentral's name for it is "lncRNA (ENSSHBG00005012422.1)". The record is from RNAcentral. Lineage: Eukaryota; Metazoa; Chordata; Aves; Psittaciformes; Psittacidae.